GGGCGUUUAGCGCAGUGGUAGCGCGUAUGCUUUGCAGGCCCUGCAGUUAAAAGCGCAGAUUCUUAGUUGUAUAAGGUCCAGGGUUCAAUCCCCUGAACGUCCA
This 103-nucleotide transfer RNA is filed under the name Amanita muscaria Koide BX008. It matches the Rfam family "tRNA". Rfam says of the family: Transfer RNA (tRNA) molecules are approximately 80 nucleotides in length. Their secondary structure includes four short double-helical elements and three loops (D, anti-codon, and T loops). Further hydrogen bonds mediate the characteristic L-shaped molecular structure. tRNAs have two regions of fundamental functional importance: the anti-codon, which is responsible for specific mRNA codon recognition, and the 3' end, to which the tRNAs corresponding amino acid is attached (by aminoacyl-tRNA synthetases). tRNAs cope with the degeneracy of the genetic code in two manners: having more than one tRNA (with a specific anti-codon) for a particular amino acid; and 'wobble' base-pairing, i.e. permitting non-standard base-pairing at the 3rd anti-codon position. Lineage: Eukaryota; Fungi; Basidiomycota; Agaricomycetes; Agaricales; Amanitaceae. The record is from Rfam by way of RNAcentral.